RNAcentral lists this ribosomal RNA (460 nucleotides) under uncultured bacterium. Its description in RNAcentral is "partial 16S ribosomal RNA". It matches the Rfam family "Bacterial small subunit ribosomal RNA", at positions 338 to 795 of the family's 1533-position model. The record is from RNAcentral.
CCUACGGGGAGCAGCAGUGAGGAAUAUUGGUCAAUGGACGCAAGUCUGAACCAGCCAUGCCGCGUGCAGGAAGACGGCUCUAUGAGUUGUAAACUGCUUUUGUACGAGGGUAAACGCAGAUACGCGUAUCUGUCUGAAAGUAUCGUACGAAUAAGGAUCGGCUAACUCCGUGCCAGCAGCCGCGGUAAUACGGAGGAUUCAAGCGUUAUCCGGAUUUAUUGGGUUUAAAGGGUGCGUAGGCGGUCGGAUAAGUUAGAGGUGAAAUCCCGAGGCUCAACUUCGGAAUUGCCUCUGAUACUGUGCGGCUAGAGAGUAGUUGCGGUAGGCGGAAUGUAGGGUGUAGCGGUGAAAUGCUUAGAGAUCAUACAGAACACCGAUUGCGAAGGCAGCUUACCAAGCUACUUCUGACGUGGAGGAACGAAAGCGUGGGGAGCAAACAGGAUUAGAUACCCCAGUAGUC